UGGGGGAUAUUGCACAAUGAGCGCAAGCCUGAUGCAGCGACGCCGCGUGGGGGAUGAAGGCCUUCGGGUUGUAAACUUCUUUUGCUCUGAACAAGGCGCACUUUGGGGUGUGUUGAGUGUAGGGGUUGAUUAGCGCCGGCUAACUACGUGCCAGCAGCCGCGGUAAUACGUAGGGCGCGAGCGUUGUCCGGAAUUAUUGGGCGUAAAGGGCUUGUAGGUGGCUGGUUGCGUCUGUCGUGAAAGCUCAUGGCUUAACUGUGGGUUUGCGGUGGGUACGGGCUGGCUUGAGUGCAGUAGGGGAGGCUGGAAUUCCUGGUGUAGCGGUGGAAUGCGCAGAUAUCAGGAGGAAUACCGGUGGCGAAGGCGGGUCUCUGGGCUGUUACUGACACUGAGGAGCGAAAGCAUGGGGAGCGAACAGG
RNAcentral lists this ribosomal RNA (419 nucleotides) under bacterium. RNAcentral describes it as "partial 16S ribosomal RNA". It matches the Rfam family "Bacterial small subunit ribosomal RNA", at positions 355 to 776 of the family's 1533-position model. The record is from RNAcentral.